Molecule: small RNA, 100 nt
Filed under: Pongo abelii (Sumatran orangutan)
Lineage: Eukaryota; Metazoa; Chordata; Mammalia; Primates; Hominidae
Description: processed transcript
Source: RNAcentral
AUGGGAUAGAAUCAAUGUCCUGAUGAACAACAUUUAACAAUUUUGUGCCAAAGAAGAGUUGCAAACUGUGAAGUAACUUCUAUGAAGAGAUGAAGUAAAG